Molecule: ribosomal RNA, 363 nt
Filed under: Mangifera indica (mango)
Lineage: Eukaryota; Viridiplantae; Streptophyta; Magnoliopsida; Sapindales; Anacardiaceae
Description: partial 18S ribosomal RNA
Source: RNAcentral
AAUUUGAGUACACCCGGGGUUCCUACAUGUGCAGUGAAGGCUUUCCGGUUUAGGUAAAACUCGUCGCGAAAGCAUGCCGGCAGUUUAUUUUUUGUUUUUAACCCCGACUUCGGAAGAUUCCGAAAUUAUUUGGCACCCAAGGGGGCCCCGGGGCAAUUCUGGCCCCCCCCCAAAAAAAACCUUAUCUUUGGAGGGGGGAAAGAUGCUGACACCCCGGCACACUUUCCGCCCUAAAAGGGUUGGGCGCCAAAUGCGUUUAAAAAUCGCUGGUCACGGGAUUUUCAAUUCACCCCCCAUAUUGCAAAUCUUGAAGUAAAAAAWMGUAWMAARGUUUCCGUAGGUGAACCUGCGGAAGGAUCAUUG